Molecule: ribosomal RNA, 253 nt
Filed under: uncultured bacterium
Lineage: Bacteria
Description: partial 16S ribosomal RNA
Rfam family: Bacterial small subunit ribosomal RNA
Source: RNAcentral
GACGAACCGAGCGAACGUUAUUCGGAAUCACUGGGCUUAAAGGGCGCGUAGGCGGGCGAUCAAGUCAGGGGUGAAAGCCUCCAGCUCAACUGGAGAAGUGCCUCUGAUACUGGUCAUCUCGAGGGAGGUAGGGGCGUGCGGAACUUCCGGUGGAGCGGUGAAAUGCGUAGAUAUAGGAAGGAACACCGGUGGCGAAAGCGGCGCGCUGGACCUCUUCUGACGCUGAGGCGCGAAAGCCAGGGGAGCGAACGGG